UGGACCAAUGAUGACACUGGUGAUGGAUAAGUCGUGGACGAUGAAUAAUGCAUGUCUGGAUAUCUGAGGUCCAU
Molecule: small nucleolar RNA, 74 nt
Organism: Pteropus vampyrus (large flying fox)
Lineage: Eukaryota; Metazoa; Chordata; Mammalia; Chiroptera; Pteropodidae
Source: Ensembl